Molecule: long non-coding RNA, 306 nt
Filed under: Physcomitrium patens
Lineage: Eukaryota; Viridiplantae; Streptophyta; Bryopsida; Funariales; Funariaceae
Description: long non-coding RNA (PPAT_LNC010280)
Source: RNAcentral
AUCCUUGGACCUCAUCAUCGACGGUGAAAAAGAUAUCAGUACUUAUCCGAGUUGUGAGAUUCUCAGCUCGUGAUUACUGAUCCUCUUCCUCUUGCCACCCUGAAGAUUGCCGCGCAGGAUUGGUUUGUGUCGGUAUAUCAGAUCAGUAGUUCUUACAUAAGACUGAAUUGAAAUGUACAAAGAGAUCAGAUCAUCGGGAGUGGAACCGUUCAGAGGAAGAAACCUACCGUAUAGUCAAGUGGACGAAGAUUAUGGUAUCAAUUUUGGAGUGUAAAGUGUGAGCGACUUCUACUGUCCUUGUAUCAU